This 447-nucleotide ribosomal RNA is filed under the name uncultured bacterium. Its description in RNAcentral is "SSU rRNA". It matches the Rfam family "Bacterial small subunit ribosomal RNA", at positions 26 to 518 of the family's 1533-position model. The record is from RNAcentral.
AGAGCGAACGCUGGCGGCAGGCCUAACACAUGCAAGUCGAGCGCCCGUAGCAAUACGGGAGCGGCAGACGGGAUAGUAACACGUGGGAACGCGCCCUUCGGUUCGGAAUAACUCAGGGAAACUUGAGCUAAUACCGAAUACGCCCUUACGGGGAAAGAUUUAUUGCCGAAGGAACGGCCCGCGUCCGAUUAGCUAGUUGGUGAGGUAAUGGCUCACCAAGGCUACGAUCGGUAGCUGGUCUGAGAGGAUGACCAGCAUCACUGGGACUGAGACACGGCCCAGACUCCUACGGGAGGCAGCAGUGGGGAUAUUGGACAAUGGGCGCAAGCCUGAUCCAGCCAUGCCGCGUGGAUGAUGAAGGCCUUAGGGUUGUAAAGUUCCGUUUUAACGGGGAAGUAUAAUGACGGUACCCGUAGAAUAGCCCGGCUAACUCGCGCCAGCAGCCGC